Austrofundulus limnaeus is the source of this 3210-nucleotide long non-coding RNA. RefSeq lists it as uncharacterized. NCBI's taxonomy places the organism in Eukaryota, Metazoa, Chordata, Actinopteri, Cyprinodontiformes, Rivulidae. The transcript has 2 exons. The record is from RefSeq and is a predicted model, not a curated record.
UUGGAGAGACAGAUUAAAGGUUAAAGUCUGCAAGCUGAAAAAUCACAAGGUUAAAAACAAGGUUAUGAGGGCUAACAGGAUUAACAAGUUAGCAUUUUUCAUCCAACUAUGAGUUAAGAUACACUCGUGCUUUACUUAAAGUUAUCUAGUUAUUAUGGGUAACAGUUAGAAUAAUGUUUAGGCUAUUUAUGAUUUCCUACACUAGUUAGUGUUGUUUAGCUUUUAAGUUAGAGUAAUCAUCAGCAAAUAUCAAUAACAGACAUCAUUUUCUGUAAAAAGUGGUUAAUUUCAGUAGACACACACAAAAAAAAAAAACCCACAAGAAAACUCAAUUACUUGAGCAAAGACAAUCAGGAAAAACAUUACACUUAUAAAGCAGAAACAAAACUGACCCAGUCUACUUCUACAUAAAGCAAAACAACAGAAAAACACAUUUACACAGCAUACACAAUUACGCAAGUUGUAAACUCAGAUAAAUUUUACUGUUUAAUGACAAUGUUCUGCAGGUGUGCAUAGUUAUUAGGCUUUAGGUAUGUCAGUGUUAAAAUAUUAAGAAAUGCAACCAAGCUUCCCAGUGUACUGAUUAUAAAAUAUAAAGUAAAUAUACAAGAGACGUAACAAUUAAUCAUAAUUAAUCCUUAGAAGGUUAAAAAUAAGCUAAACAUUUAUUUUUGUUUGUUUUAUUUUAAAUGUAUUUAUUUCUGUGUUGUCGAUAAACAACUAUUCGUUAAAAGGUCUAAAAUGUCUUCAAAUCUUUUAUUUUUUUUUGUCGGAAAUUAUUUCAGACUUUCGUAAACUCCCAGUAACGCUACUACCCCCUAGUGCCCCAUUAGGGAAAAUUCGACCAUAUCGAAAUCCAUUAUGAYUGCAUUUUAUGAUCCAUAAUUAUCAUAUAAAAUAACAAAUUUAUUUAAUUUAUGUUUCUUUUUUAUCUCUAUACCCCUAAUUUCAAUUUCUAUAUUUGCACAAUAGGUGGUGCUCCACUUUGACCAAGGAGGGAAGCUUUAAAACCACCGACCAGCCUCCUGCAGUUUACCUGGAAAAGGGAUGUCCAAGUUGCUCUCAAAUCUGGAUUCUUAUCUCAGGUGAAAAAAUGUUUUAGUUCAAAACAUUUUUAAAAAAAAUUAAAAUAAACUCCAUGGUCGACUCAUGUGAGCUUUACUAAAAACAGGACCUCCUCUCCAGAUAACAGAUCGGGCAGGUGCAGGGGUGUGGAAGAUCUUCCCAAAACGCCAAACUGGAAUUUUUACAACUAUGCCAAAAAACCAUUUGGGUGUCUUAAGGUGGAAAACUGUCUUUCUCCCACAAAAAACUUCCAUAAAUUAAAGAAAUUGUCUAAUUAAAAAUGUAUAAUAAAUUGUGGAUGUUUUGUAAAACUAAUGGCUCUUAAUUAAAAAAAGAAAUUUAAAUUUUUUGUUUUAAUUCGAGGCUGCGAUAGCUUUUAAAGUCUAAUUUAUUGUAGACUAAAACAUAAAAAAUGUUUUUUUUUUAUCAGCAGUUAUGUAAUGUGGUCAAUUUUUCCUUUAAGGAACACUUAUUAUCAUAAAGUUAAAGGACUUUCUGAGGGUUAAAUACUCCAUCGUUCAUUUUAGCCAAGUAAUAUUUCACUAACUGCCACAGCCCCAUUUGGAUUCCGUCAGCUUCUGUUAAAGUUCGACUGAAGCAGCAGCCUCUGCCUCUGAACUCAUGUUCAAAGAGGCGUCAUGUUUGAGUCGGGCCCACCAUCCUUCAAUGGGAUCUGUAUCCUGUGAGGAAAGUGGGGAAAGCGUCGUUCAUUAUUCAWCAUUUUUUGCUGUCUAACCAUGCAUGGGAGUUCUUAGACGGAUCUGGUUCAGCAGCACUGUCAUGCAGAAAGAUCACGGCCUGCUUGAAUUUUGCAGAUUUUCGCUGCAGAGAGGAGAGGAUCUCCCAGCAACCAGCAUCGGGUUCAAGACUUUACAUUCAGCACAUCUCCAGUCUGAAAGGGUCUAAAUAGCUUGGCCUUAAUGAUGGCGGCCCCCCUCCUUCAUCUUUUGUGGGCCCUGAUUUGAAGMGAUGCCCCGAGUCCAUUAGUGAUCCUGAAGCAGAUGCAUCCAUCUGCUCCUUGAAGACUCCCUCUCACUUCAUCUGUCCGUAAGAACCGCUCUCAGCACCGGGGCCUUAUGUCAACUCUUCAAAGUCUCAUUCUGUGGUGGUCAGUUUUAGCCCUCUUCACUCCGAGAACGUCUCAAAGCACCAGAAAACUCAUUCCUGGCACUCCCUGUGUACCACUUGCACCCAUUUUCCUCAAUAUGAUGUUUUUUCGCUAUUCUACUAAAAGUUGCUAUUUGUGACAUGAAAACAUCUAAUUGCUUAAAAAAACUGUUUAUUACAUUUUUCACUUUACGUCACCAUUUUGUUACUGAUGCACUGUAUUCUGAGGAUGAUGAUGGUUUAAAGUUGAGACCACAGAGUCGAGGCWAAAAAGCUACAUUUUGUGUGAAAAUAAAUUUAUUUUCUGUAUUAGUUUUUAUGUUCUGUACAUUAUUGAAACAAUUAAACAUUUAAUAAAUUUGUUUUGGAGCUAGAAGCUCACAUGACAUAAACAUUACUAAUAUAUUUGUAGCAUUAGCUAACGUGAAAGCUAAAAGGUUAAAGCUGAGGUGAAGCAGUUCCGUCCACAGUUUCAGUUGCAGACUGAGUCCUUUCUACCUUCUCCUCUCUGUCAACGCUCUCUGGUUUCAUUUAAAAGGGAUGAAUGUCAGACAUUGUUCAACAUUAACCUUCAAGCUACACCUUGUAGCCGUCAACAUUUACUCAGAAUGCUUUGCGGCAUAAAAAACAUGGCAACGUCUGAGUAACGAUACAUUUUUAAAAUAAAACUAAACAUUUUUAUAGUUGAAUAAUUUUCAUAAAAUAUUCUCUAAUGCUACAACUAGUUAAAUUUGAUGUUGGAUGUUUUUGAGGUGUUUCAAACAGUGCACCUGCCAUCAUUUUAUUUAUUUUCAUUUUUUUGUUGAGUUUUGUUUCAUUUAUUGAAGCUGCCCAAUAAUUAUGCACACAUGAUGUUAGACACAGUUUAGGCCUCAUGGUCCCAGAUAAUCACUCAACUCAGCGAGUGAUUCAACUUUAUUUGAAUUUGGGGUUGAUAAAGAUGGACAGAAAUGAGGAUGAAGUCAGAAUUUUCACCUGACAAAUAAUUGUGCAUGAAGUGCCCCUGAGACAUUUUUAUCAAGAUGUUUGUAAAAAAAA